RNAcentral lists this RNase P RNA (401 nucleotides) under Actinomycetota bacterium. RNAcentral's name for it is "Actinobacteria bacterium RNase P RNA component class A". It matches the Rfam family "Bacterial RNase P class A". From Rfam's summary of the family: Ribonuclease P (RNase P) is a ubiquitous endoribonuclease, found in archaea, bacteria and eukarya as well as chloroplasts and mitochondria. Lineage: Bacteria; Bacillati; Actinomycetota. The record is from RNAcentral.
UGAGUCGGCCGGGCGGCCGCGUCGCGUCAGGAACCUGGCGCGCCGAGGAAGGUCCGGGCUCCGCAGGGCAGGGUGGUCGGUAACGCCGACCCGGGGUGACCCGCGGGACAGUGCCACAGAAAGCAAACCGCCUCUGGCGUUGUCCGGAGGUAAGGGUGAAACGGUGGUGUAAGAGACCACCAGCGCUCAGGGUGACCUGAGUGGCUCGGUAAACCCCACCUGGAGCAAGGUCAAGAGGGAGCUGCGCCCCCGGGUGCGGCUCCUGCGCGAGCGAUCGAGGGCUGCCCGCCCGAGCUCGCGGGUAGACCGCUGGAGGCUGUCGGCAACGGCAGCCCUAGAUGGAUGGCCGUCGGCCCGCGCAAGCGGGUGCACAGAACCCGGCCUACAGGCCGGCUCGCCCG